Long non-coding RNA from Helianthus annuus (common sunflower), 2558 nucleotides. RefSeq lists it as uncharacterized. The transcript is spliced from 15 exons. The record is from RefSeq and is a predicted model, not a curated record. NCBI's taxonomy places the organism in Eukaryota, Viridiplantae, Streptophyta, Magnoliopsida, Asterales, Asteraceae.
GAAACAUAGUUGCAGCUCUCUCUCCUCCUAUCGCCACCGCCAAGAUCCUUCAUCAGUUCCACAAAAUCUUACGUAUCGACAAUCAUACACUCGAUCUAAGAUCUCUGUUACCUAUCAAUCAAGAUUGUUGUUUUUCAGCCCAAUUCCAAGCACAACCAGGUACCACUAAAGAGUUGGUCGCCACGAGAAAUAUGGAAUUUUUAAAAGCAACUAUUGCAGGUAGAUGUGUUUGGAUGGCUUCAUCAACAAAUAAGGAUGGAAACUGGGACGGAAUGCCCUAGCCAUCGCAUCCAGCAAUUACGGCUAGGGUUGCGACCAGUUGAUCCGGAGCCAGUUCAGUUGACAGGUACUUCAGAUGGUUCAAACAGUUGUUUGGUAUUUCAGAUUCCUGAUAUUUUUUAGUCCAGUACUAAAUGCUUCGAGGAAUUUCAAUGCUAAGUAGAUCGGCAAAAUGGGUGAAUUUUUGUGUCUGUCAAAACGGGCCGGGUUAGAUGCCUCAAACAGUUAGUUAGUAUUUCAGAUUCAUGAAUCAGAAGAGGAGUUUAACUGAAAUUAUUUUUUCCUUUAGCUGGAGUAUAGGUUUGCUAAGAUGCCUCUUACACCGUCCCCAUCUGGUAUAUUGUUAAUUUUGAUAACUUGGUUUUAUAAUUUAUAUUUUCAAUUUGUUUGACUUAAUUGAUUAUUUUUUAAGUAUAUACGGGUUUACAUCAGUGUCCUCAUGAUCGAUCAUUCACUAUGGAGAAAUUUUGAAGAGCUAUGAAAUUAAAGGCUCAAGACAUAAAGUGUGAGCCUGUGUACGCUCGAGGCAAGCUAAGCGUACAUCCAUUCCAGGCUUUUUUAGUUGUUUUAGACUAGAUUUUGGCUAGUUAAAUUGUUUAGAGUAGUAUACUCAGGUUAGGCUGGUUCAAACUUCUUAUGAUUGAGUUUAUUCCUUAAUCGGGCCAUUGAAAUUGAGUAAUAUAUAUGCUCAGUACCUAUUGAAGUUGGCCCCUGUGCGUACAAGUUCCAGUUUUUUUGCAAUUGCUUAAUAAGUGAAUUAGUCCAACAGGUUAAUGAUUAACACCAAUAUGCUCAUCUUGAACCUGCAAAUACAAAUGUUCUUUUGUUAGACGAAGUGACAGUUGACCUCGAUGUAGUUGCAAGGAUGGAUUUACUCGAGUUCUUCAAGGAGGAAUGUGAUUAUGUGAGCAGAUUAUUUCCAGCCAAAAAAGGUUUGGUAGUACUUUUAUUUAUUAAUAUUGUUGCUCGAGGGCUAAAGACGUCAUUAAAAUGGUCACAAGACUUGGAUACAUCAAGUUUCUAAUGAAGAAUUUAAUAAUCAGGUGAAGAUGUUAAUGUGUGUAUAACAUCCGCAUUUGGUGGUCAUGCUUGGAUUCUACAUAGAGCUAAACUGCAGUGUUUUUGAGUAUAUUCAUCAAAUCUCCUGUAAAUUCUAUGAACUGAGAAGGCGGAACCGAGUAGGAAUUGGGUGAUAAGAGUUCAAGAGGUUUGGAUGAUUUGAUUCCUGGAUUUUGAAGUAGUAUUUCUGUGUCCAGUAGCAGCAGGUUUAUAAUCACAUUGGGGUUCUUCAUGCACACCAUGUGUUUGGUAAUUUGCUUAACUGAAUAUCAAAUCACAUAUUAAAAGGAACUAGAUGUUCCUUCAACAACCGGGAAUGCUUCAGAAACGAAAACCGUGGAAGUGAGUAAUGUCUCAAUUACGGUCACUGAGAAGGAUAUCCGGGAAUUCUUUUCAUUUUCGGGAAAUAUAAAUUAUAUUGAAAUGAAAAGUGAAAGUGAAACCACCCAACGCGCGUUUGUCACCUUCAAGGAAUCAAAGGGAGCAUAUACAACACUUCUUUUGACAACAAAUACAGAUGGGAAAUAUGAAGUUGCGCAAGAGGCAGAAGAAGUGGUAAGCACGAUGCUUGCAAAGGGUUCCGUUCUGGGAAAAGACGCGCUGCAAAAGGCGAAGUCAUUUGACGAGAAACACCAGUUGACAUCGAACGUCUCUGCGACCGCUGUUUCCAUUGACCAAAAGAUGGGUUUGACUCAAAAGUUAAGUACGGGGACAGCUGUCGUUUAUGAAAAGAUGAAAGAAGUGGACGAACGUUACCAAGUAUCCGAAGCAACAAAAUCCGCUGUUGCUAAAGCUGAGCAGAAGGCGAGCAAUGCUGGUUGAUCAAAGUAUAAAAUUGACUCGACGUCCUUUUUUAGAACAGGUUCUGCCAAUAUACCAAUAUACCUGGACAAGAUUUUCAAUCAAAUUGUUGCAAUCGUGCUUUCUGUAAGUUUGAUAAUUUUUGGAGAGGUGAUUCCACAAGCAGUAUGUACCAGAUAUGGACUUGCAUCUAAUGGUGUGAUGCUGUGAAGUGGGACAUGAGGAUACCCUUUUGUGGUGACUUGGAGAUGAACAAUGAAGUUUCUGAGACUUCACUUUACCCAUUUGACCGGUUUCAUAUUUUGUUUAUUUAGAGAUUUAUGAAUUAUGAUCGUAAUUUUUUCUUUUUGUUAUUAAACGAGUUGGCGCAACCCCGCGCGUUGCGGCGGGCCCGGGGUAUUAAUUAUGAAUGUGUUUAG